UACGAAGGGGGCUAGCGUUGUUCGGAAUUACUGGGCGUAAAGCGCGUGUAGGCGGCUAUGCAAGUCGGGCGUGAAAUCCCACGGCUCAACCGUGGAAGUGCACUCGAAACUGCGUAGCUAGAGUCCUGGAGAGGAAGGUGGAAUGCUUGGUGUAGAGGUGAAAUUCGUAGAUAUCAAGCGGAACACCGGUGGCGAAGGCGGCCUUCUGGACAGUGACUGACGCUGAGACGCGAAAGCGUGGGGAGCAAACAGG
Molecule: ribosomal RNA, 253 nt
Filed under: uncultured bacterium
Lineage: Bacteria
Description: partial 16S ribosomal RNA
Rfam family: Bacterial small subunit ribosomal RNA
Source: RNAcentral